RNAcentral lists this ribosomal RNA (448 nucleotides) under uncultured Glomeromycotina. Its description in RNAcentral is "SSU rRNA". It matches the Rfam family "Eukaryotic small subunit ribosomal RNA", at positions 569 to 1025 of the family's 1831-position model. Lineage: Eukaryota; Fungi; Glomeromycota. The record is from RNAcentral.
AGCAGCCGCGGUAAUUCCAGCUCCAAUAGCGUAUAUUAAAGUUGUUGCAGUUAAAAGCUCGUAGUUGAAUUUCGGGAUCAGUUGAUCGGUCGUGCCUCGGUACGUACUGGUCAAAUUGAUUUCUACCUUCUGACGAACCACGAUGUCAUUAAUUUGGUGUCGCGGGAAAUCAGGACUGUUACUUUGAAAAAAUUAGAGUGUUUAAAGCAGGCUCGUGCUUGAAUACAUUAGCAUGGAAUAAUGAAAUAGGACGUUUGAUUCUAUUUUGUUGGUUUCUAGGAUCGACGUAAUGAUUAAUAGGGAUAGUUGGGGGCAUUAGUAUUCAAUUGUCAGAGGUGAAAUUCUUGGAUUUAUUGAAGACUAACUACUGCGAAAGCAUUUGCCAAGGAUGUUUUCAUUAAUCAAGAACGAAAGUUAGGGAUCGAAGACGAUCAGAUACCGUGUAGUC